AUACGAGCGAUUGGCAAACUAACACAUAAAAACCCAUCCCCACAUAGAGUAAAAUUAGCGUGUUGCUAUUAUGAAACCAAAAUCGGUUAAAAUCUGCCAAGCGUACAUUUUGAUGUUAAGAGCACCCAAAAAAGGGGAAAGUAAAUGCAGCGUGCAACAAGAGCUGUCAAACGGGCCACGCGGAACAGAUCCGCCAUCUCGUUCCAAGUACCGUCGUGAAUAGACGGAGAAAAGUGCCUUCAAAAUCGGGAAGUGGUGUAUUGCGUGCGAAAAAAAAAAACCCGGUCUUACCAGCCGAAGAAGCCCGAGGAUCGAGUCCAGCAUCAGCACCAGCAGGAGCUGCUACGCUGCCAACAAAGGAAAACCCGGCCACGCCACGUGCAUUCUUUGCACGGAAUCCAGCCAGCAAAGCAUAGCGCAGCCCAUUGUGAGGAAGCUCGAUUCCCCGGUCAGGAGCUCAAGGAAGAGAAGGCAAGCGUCAGGAAAGGGUCGCAGAGGCGGCCCUUUUUCCCCCUUUUAUUCUUCAUAGUGCUGGAUUCCAAGGCGGUUUCGGGCACUGCUCCGGUGGCAUAAAUUCCGGCGCACAUCCCCAUUGGCCCGAGAGCCGACAGUCGAAGGAAAAAAUCAGCUGCCCCCUGGUAGUUCCCAGGAGGCGCCGCAGGCGUAGGGCAUUGGCACGCGAGCCGAACAACCCAGACGAAGAUCAGCAGCCCCCUGGUAGACCCCAGGAGGCGCCGUAGGCGAAGGGCCAGAAUUCAUGCAGUGCUGCCAAUCGGUACUCUGAAUCGCCGAGCAGCACCACAAUAACUCGGACGCCCGGAACUCUGCCGUGAAGAAAAGUGGAGGUCUUCCGGCAGAGAGGGUCCACGGCCGAGCAGCAGCAGCAGCAUCAAGGUGCCACCAAUCGGCUCCGGUCUUUGGACGGCCGAGUAGCAGCAGCGGCGCCAAGGUGCCACCAAUCGGCCCCAGGCUUAGGGCGGCCGAAACAGCAGCAGCGGCAUCAAGGUGCUACCAAUCGGCCCAAGGCUUAGGGCGGCCGAAACAGCAGCAGCGGCAUCAAGGUGCCACCUACCGGCCCCGGUCGUAGGGCGGCCAAAUAACAGAAUAGGCAAGAGGUGCCAUCCGAUCGGCGCUCUAUCAAAAGGCGGCGGACGCAUGCAGGGCAGGCGAGGUGCCGUACGAGAGGGAUCCAUUCGGCGAGAAUGCGGUGAGUACACGCUAAUAGGGGAAUGUGGGGUGUGUUUUGCCAAAAUUCAUUGAAGCCAUUAUUUUUCAUUCAUGUGGCAUCGCCCACGAAUAGCCUCUUCUACAAAUGGCGCCCAACAAAAACGAACCGCUUAAGUUUUGU
Uranotaenia lowii is the source of this 1348-nucleotide long non-coding RNA. RefSeq lists it as uncharacterized. Lineage: Eukaryota; Metazoa; Arthropoda; Insecta; Diptera; Culicidae. The transcript is spliced from 4 exons. The record is from RefSeq and is a predicted model, not a curated record.